Molecule: transfer RNA, 72 nt
Filed under: Psychrobacillus psychrotolerans
Lineage: Bacteria; Bacillati; Bacillota; Bacilli; Caryophanales; Bacillaceae
Also listed under: 8 other names
Description: Bacillus psychrotolerans tRNA
Rfam family: tRNA
About the family: Transfer RNA (tRNA) molecules are approximately 80 nucleotides in length. Their secondary structure includes four short double-helical elements and three loops (D, anti-codon, and T loops).
Source: Rfam by way of RNAcentral
CGCGGGGUGGAGCAGUGGUAGCUCGUCGGGCUCAUAACCCGAAGGUCGCAGGUUCAAAUCCUGUCCCCGCAA